Molecule: long non-coding RNA, 1699 nt
Organism: Paramisgurnus dabryanus
Lineage: Eukaryota; Metazoa; Chordata; Actinopteri; Cypriniformes; Cobitidae
Source: RefSeq, a predicted model, not a curated record
AUCAGGAUCAAGGGCAUUAUUUCAAACCGCCACUGACUCGGUCUUCGUUUUCAUGCUAAACAGUACGGCUGAGAGGUCAUGUACCAUGUGGUCGACCUUGCUGACGCUGAAGAGGUUUCUGUGUAAAAAUUAUGGCCGUGCACAGGGGGGUGGCCCGGUGGCUAGAGCAACUGCCCCUCUGCCCUAAUCAGCUGAGGUGCCCCUCUCACCAACCGCCAACCCGGGUCAAAGUGUUCUGUUACUGCUCGUCUAAAGAUCCACCUUUUCUGGUAAUCCACUUCGUGAUUUCCCGCCCGCUACGCAGCAUCUCUCACAAUCUGUGUUCACUCUUUGAAGGGCGGAGACGACAGUUUGUUGUAUUAACAGGUAGAUUCAUUACAUUACCUCAUUUGUUAAGCUGCUCAAUUAGUAAUUUGGUAGUUUGAAGCCGAUAGAUGUCGUGUACUAUAUUUAUUUUUGCUUUGUUGUUUUCUCGUGAUCACGACUUAAUUCUCCUUAUCUCGAGAUAGUUGUAUUCUUGUGAUGUGAUUAAAGCUUACAAAAUACCAUAAUUUCUAGACAGCAAAAGCAUAUUUAGCUAAAUUAGCAUGAAUGAACAAAUGAGAUUUUACUUGGAUCAGGGAUUCGCUCAAGAUGAAACAGAUUUGCCAAUAAUUCACCAUUUGAUAGCGCGUUGAAUUUAGGGACCGUCUAUAAAGUAACUCCAUAUACGUUUUGGCACACUUUGUAGACAAAAAAAAUAAAAACCAAUGUUUUCACAAAAACAAGAAGACUGCAAAGGAAGGCUGCAAAAGCUCUUCAAAAUUGUAAACAUGGAUUCAAAGCUUCAGCACGUAAAUCAUAUAGAAUAUUAAGCAGUAAUCAACAAACACCACGAACCACUCUGUGAGUAGCACAGUUCUGAAAAUGAACGUUAAGUGUUGUUUUAAUGACAUGUUUGUGCAUGGCCCUUAACUUCCAUUCUGAAGCAGUCAAGAGACGCUUCUAAACAAGUCAAAAAGUCAAGACACGACGCAUUGUCAAAAUUUCAGUGACCAUCACCUUAGUUCAUCCAAAACAAACCAGAAAUGAGACUCAAAGUGUUUAAUACCGGAUUUAUUCUUUAAGACUUUUUCUUUAACAAAGCAUUCACAUAAUUUGUCUAGUAAAUUAUACUUAUCUCGCAAAAGUUAGCUUGUACGGAACAAAGCAUUCACAUAACUUGUCUGGGUAAUUUACUAAUGCCGCAAUAGCUAGCCUGUCUGGAACCGAGCAUAUAUUAAAACACAACACUGUGUGACACUUGCAUUACAUGUGAAUGGCCCCUACGCUAAUAGGAUUUUGUUUCUCUCUCCCUGUCUCGUCCUCAAACCCGAGGACAUUGAGACAAAUAGACCAGUUCCGGCUGCCGUGGAGGUCAACACACCACUGAUCUACUGGCUGCCCUUCAACGUGAUGCCCAGCUGAUGACUUACCACCGACGGAACCCGGAACUUUUGCUACUUAUAUUAUGCAGUGAAGGAGUGAUUCCCCAACAUCGAGGUGGCAGAGAUCCGGGACCUUCUACAGAGGAAGUGCAACAAUGACAGUUACAAGGCCUCCAGUAGUUCAAAUCAGAGCUAGAUGUGCAUAUAGUACAAGUUGUUCGCAAUUGUUCUCUUCCAGGCAUUUCAAAGAAAGUCGACUGUUUAAGGUUCCCCAUUUUGCCAAUAUCUGUUUU